RNAcentral lists this ribosomal RNA (1514 nucleotides) under Heterodera glycines (soybean cyst nematode). Its description in RNAcentral is "eukaryotic LSU rRNA". It matches the Rfam family "Eukaryotic large subunit ribosomal RNA", at positions 1076 to 2501 of the family's 3401-position model. RNAcentral also lists the same sequence under 1 other name. The record is from RNAcentral. Lineage: Eukaryota; Metazoa; Nematoda; Chromadorea; Rhabditida; Heteroderidae.
UGAAGCCAGGGUUGCUUGACUCUGAACCCAGGCGUUGAAUGUUUGAGCUCCAAGUGGGCCAUUUUUGGUAAGCAGAACUGGCGAUGUGGGAUGAACCAAACGUGGAGUUAAGGUGCCAAAGUGCCCGCUCAUUAGACCCCAUAAAAGGUGUUGGUUGAUAUAGACAGCAGGACGGUGGCCAUGGAAGUCGGAAUCCGCUAAGGAGUGUGUAACAACUCACCUGCCGAAUCAACUAGCCCUGAAAAUGGAUGGCGCUGGAGCGGGCCACCUAUACUCCACCGUCAUUGGCUUGUACACGUGCUUGUCGCGUAGUCUGGCCAUGACGUGUAGGAGGGUCGUGGUGGUUGCGUUGAAGGCUUUGGGCGUGGGCCCGGCCGGAGCUUCCACCAGUGCAGAUCUUGGUGGUAGUAGCAAAUAUUCAAGUGAGAUCCUUGAAGACUGAAGUGGAGAAGGGUUCCACGUGAACAGCAGUUGAAUGUGGGUCAGCCGAUCCUAAGGCACCGGCUAACGCCGUAACACACUACGGAUGACAACUUUUCUGUGCUUGCGCAGUUGGUCCAUCCGGUUGCCGAAAGGGAAGUGGGUUAACAUUCCCACGCCAGGCUAGGGAAAUGACGGUUCGCAAGAGCUGUUUUGCGCGGUAACGCAAAUGAACUCGCAGACGUCGUGUGGAGUCCGAGCCAGAGUUCUCUUUUCUGGUUUAGGGUGUGCGUGCCUGGAAGUGGCUCAGCCUGAGAUAGGGAUGUUGCGCCCGUAAAGCACCGCGGUUCCUGUGGUGUCUCGUGCGCUCCACACGGCCCUUGAAAAUGCGAGGGAAGCUAUUUGAAUCUCCUGCCUGAUCGUACCGAUAUCCGCAGCAGGUCUCCAAGGUGAACAGCCUCUAGUCGAUAGAAUAAUGUAGGUAAGGGAAGUCGGCAAAUUAGAUUCGUAACUUCGGGAAAAGAAUUGGCUCUAAAGGUCGGGUCAGCCGGGCUGUUGCGUGAAACAGGCGGCUUUUGCCCGUGGCUGCUUGCUGUUCCUUCGGGGAUGGUGCGUGGACUAGUGGUGAGAGCUGCUUGUGGAGCGCUUCAGCUGCGUGUAUGCUCGUCAGGGUAUGCACUUCGGUUGGCGCUGAACGACCAGUUUAGAAAAAAAACGAACUCGGGGAAUCCGACUGUCUAAUUAAAACAGAGGAGACGGAUGGUCCUUGUGGACGUUGACCGUGUCUGAUUUCUGCCCAGUGCUCUGAAUGUUAAGCCAAGGAAACUUGAAUAAGCGCGGGUAAACGGCGGGAGUAACUAUGACUCUCUUAAGGUAGCCAAAUGCCUCGUCGGCUAACUACCGACGCGCACGAAUGGAUCAACGAGAUUCCCACUGUCCGUAUCUACUAUCUAGCGAAACCACAGCCAAGGGAACGGGCUUGGCAAAUUUAGCGGGGAAAGAAGACCCUUAAAGGUUACUCUANNCUNACUUUAUAAAAAAUCAUNACUCAGAGUGGAGAAGUGGGAGCCGCAAGGCGCCAAUGAAAUACCACU